GGGCCCAUAGCUCAGUUGGCAGAGCCCCCGGCUCAUAACCGGAUGGUCCGAGGUUCGAAUCCUCGUGGGCCCA
Molecule: transfer RNA, 73 nt
Filed under: Desulfoplanes formicivorans
Lineage: Bacteria; Pseudomonadati; Thermodesulfobacteriota; Desulfovibrionia; Desulfovibrionales; Desulfoplanaceae
Rfam family: tRNA
About the family: Transfer RNA (tRNA) molecules are approximately 80 nucleotides in length. Their secondary structure includes four short double-helical elements and three loops (D, anti-codon, and T loops). Further hydrogen bonds mediate the characteristic L-shaped molecular structure. tRNAs have two regions of fundamental functional importance: the anti-codon, which is responsible for specific mRNA codon recognition, and the 3' end, to which the tRNAs corresponding amino acid is attached (by aminoacyl-tRNA synthetases). tRNAs cope with the degeneracy of the genetic code in two manners: having more than one tRNA (with a specific anti-codon) for a particular amino acid; and 'wobble' base-pairing, i.e. permitting non-standard base-pairing at the 3rd anti-codon position.
Source: Rfam by way of RNAcentral